AGGGAAGAAGCGCAAGUGACGGUACCUGCAGAAGAAGCGCCGGCUAACUACGUGCCAGCAGCCGCGGUAAUACGUAGGGCGCGAGCGUUAUCCGGAAUUAUUGGGCGUAAAGAGCUCGUAGGCGGCUUGUCGCGUCUGCUGUGAAAGCCCGGGGCUCAACCCCGGGUCUGCAGUGGGUACGGGCAGGCUGGAGUGCAGUAGGGGAGACUGGAAUUCCUGGUGUAGCGGUGAAAUGCGCAGAUAUCAGGAGGAACACCGAUGGCGAAGGCAGGUCUCUGGGCUGUAACUGACGCUGAGGAGCGAAAGCAUGGGGAGCGAACAGGAUUAGAUACCCUGGUAGUCCAUGCCGUAAACGUUGGGCACUAGGUGUGGGGGCCAUUCCACGGUUUCUGCGCCGCAGCUAACGCAUUAAGUGCCCCGCCUGGGGAGUACGGCCGCAAGGCUAAAACUCAAAGGAAUUGACGG
RNAcentral lists this ribosomal RNA (465 nucleotides) under Sinomonas halotolerans. RNAcentral's name for it is "bacterial SSU rRNA". It matches the Rfam family "Bacterial small subunit ribosomal RNA", at positions 441 to 916 of the family's 1533-position model. The record is from RNAcentral. Lineage: Bacteria; Bacillati; Actinomycetota; Actinomycetes; Micrococcales; Micrococcaceae.